UGGGGAAUAUUGGACAAUGGGCGAAAGCCUGAUCCAGCCAUGCCGCGUGUGUGAAGAAGGCCUUUUGGUUGUAAAGCACUUUAAGCGAGGAGGAGGCUACUAGUACUAAUACUACCAGGUACUGGACGUUACUCGCAGAAUAAGCACCGGCUAACUCUGUGCCAGCAGCCGCGGUAAUACAGAGGGUGCGAGCGUUAAUCGGAUUUACUGGGCGUAAAGCGUGCGUAGGCGGCUAAUUGAGUCGGAUGUGAAAUCCCCGAGCUUAACUUGGGAAUUGCAUUCGAUACUGGUUAGCUAGAGUGUGGGAGAGGAUGGUAGAAUUCCAGGUGUAGCGGUGAAAUGCGUAGAGAUCUGGAGGAAUACCGAUGGCGAAGGCAGCCAUCUGGCCUAACACUGACGCUGAGGUACGAAAGCAUGGGGAGCAAACAGG
This 430-nucleotide ribosomal RNA is filed under the name Pseudomonadota bacterium. Its description in RNAcentral is "Proteobacteria bacterium partial 16S ribosomal RNA". It matches the Rfam family "Bacterial small subunit ribosomal RNA", at positions 355 to 776 of the family's 1533-position model. Lineage: Bacteria; Pseudomonadati; Pseudomonadota. The record is from RNAcentral.